GAAGGUGGAUUUAUUAGUAAUUAUAUUUUAUUAUUAUUUGGUGGAUUGUGGAAUAACAUGUGUACAUAUUGCCCGUCGCUCUCGUUUUUUGGAGAUAAGUCGUAACAUAGUUGAUUUACUGGAAAGUGAGUCUUUUUGA
RNAcentral lists this ribosomal RNA (139 nucleotides) under Motyxia tularea. RNAcentral's name for it is "partial small subunit ribosomal RNA". Lineage: Eukaryota; Metazoa; Arthropoda; Diplopoda; Polydesmida; Xystodesmidae. The record is from RNAcentral.